UAUUUUUCGCUUAGCCUUCAUACAAGGGAAGCAAGCAGUGAGGCACCAGCCUUGAGACAUGAUUGAGGCAAUUUUCAUUGAUGGUGAUAAUAGUGUUAGAAGAACAUGGGGCCAAUGUGAAGUUCAGAUCCAUUUGGACACAGAUAAAUCAAGACACAGGUUCUUUUCCUUGUGAGUUCACUGAUCAAUGCAAUGAAAAGAGGCAGGCCCCAUCUUGACUCAGCUUGAUGGAACUCCUUGGGCACUUCUCUUCUUUUCCAGCAAGCAACAGUGCUGAUAAGAAUAUUCUCACGACUUUUCUUUUGCUUCCAUGGUUCUUUUUCAUUGCUCAACUCCCUGUUAUUAUUAAUUCUCUUUUUUUUUUUAAGCUUCCAUUGCAUCCGGCCAUCAAGACUUAUUAUCUUUGUUGUUUCUGGAAAUAUAAUGGUUAAUUAUUGUUCAAGAAUUAGUAUAACAUUCAGCAUUUCUUUAAUUAAACCGAGCCUAUGAAAUCUUGCAGUGGUUGAGAUUUCAUUUUGUGUAAAUGGACCCUGGAGUGUUCAAUUCCUGGCUUGCAGGAAAGAAAAGUCUCUCAGAGUUUGGUAUUUUACUGUUUAAUUUGUAUCCUAUCGUGUCUUCACAAGUCUCUCAGGAAUUCUGAUUCUUGGAUGGAUCAGAUGCAUUGAAUGAUACUGUCACAGUUACCAUAAUUAUAUAUUGAAUUUAGUGCUCAACAAAUUCCUGCCAUGAGAUAACCUAUUUUCACCUUCCUUCAAUGGGCACGCACUAAAAUUCCCAUGCUACAUGUGUACACACACACGCACGAUGGUAAAUGGGAUCAGACUGGGAGCCUGUAUUUGUAAAUGCUCUGAAUUCGCAAUAUGAUUAUUCUUUUUAAAUGGUCCCCUCUAACGUAGAAGAAAGAUUCAGAGAUGAAAGAUGGUCCCCUCUUUUCAUUUCCUUUCUUUCCCAUGGCAAUCUAUUUUGUUGCUGUUUCAUCAAAAGGAACAGCGUGGUCUCUAAACUUGGUGUGUCUCACUGUUGCCCAGCUUCUGUUUGACGAGUUCGUACAGAGAUGGAGAAUUUGGGAAUCAACUUUGCUGAGUUACACGUGUCAAACACCCAUUUAACCAAGUACACAGUGGCCACUCCAUUCUUACCUCAAGCUGGACAUGCACCAAAUGGAUCCCACAACAUUGGAUACCCGAUGCCACAGAAACCGCAGCUAGCAACAAGAAGAAGAUACGCGGCCUUAGGAUGGAUUGAAACACUGCCCCCCACGAUAAACCUUACAAAUCUGAUCCUUCAGAGAAUUGAAGUUAAAGACAAGCUACGAUUAGUACUUGUAGGUUGUGUUUUAUUUUUUGGUGCUAAAAUAGAGGAUGUAAUGGCAACAUCUCAAGAGAUUUGUCAUGUGUGUAAUUUAAACAUAACCCAGUUGUACAUCUUGUUAAAAAAAGAAUCCAAUUAUGCAUCAAAUGUAUGCUCAUGUUU
This is a long non-coding RNA of Populus nigra (black poplar), 1473 nucleotides long. RefSeq lists it as uncharacterized. The record is from RefSeq and is a predicted model, not a curated record. Lineage: Eukaryota; Viridiplantae; Streptophyta; Magnoliopsida; Malpighiales; Salicaceae. The transcript is spliced from 3 exons.